GAUGAACGCUGGCGGCGUGCCUAAUACAUGCAAGUCGAACGAACAGAUAAGGAGCUUGCUCCUUUGACGUUAGCGGCGGACGGGUGAGUAACACGUGGAUAACCUACCUAUAAGACUGGGAUAACUUCGGGAAACCGGAGCUAAUACCGGAUAACAUAUUGAACCGCAUGGUUCAAUAGUGAAAGGCGGCUUUGCUGUCACUUAUAGAUGGAUCCGCGCCGUAUUAGCUAGUUGGUAAGGUAACGGCUUACCAAGGCAACGAUACGUAGCCGACCUGAGAGGGUGAUCGGCCACACUGGAACUGAGACACGGUCCAGACUCCUACGGGAGGCAGCAGUAGGGAAUCUUCCGCAAUGGGCGAAAGCCUGACGGAGCAACGCCGCGUGAGUGAUGAAGGUCUUCGGAUCGUAAAACUCUGUUAUCAGGGAAGAACAAAUGUGUAAGUAACUGUGCACAUAUUGACGGUACCUGAUCAGAAAGCAACGGCUAACUACGUG
RNAcentral lists this ribosomal RNA (497 nucleotides) under uncultured bacterium. RNAcentral describes it as "partial 16S ribosomal RNA". It matches the Rfam family "Bacterial small subunit ribosomal RNA", at positions 28 to 507 of the family's 1533-position model. The record is from RNAcentral.